AGUGAACGCUGGCGGCAGGCCUAACACAUGCAAGUCGAGCGGCAGCACGGCAAUAGCAAUAUUGUGGGUGGCGAGCGGCGGACGGGUGAGGAAUGCAUCGGGAUCUACCCUGUCGUGGGGGACAACGUAGGGAAACUUACGCUAAUACCGCAUGAUCUGGAGACAGCAAAGCCGGGGACCCGCGAGGGCCUGGCGCGAUGGGAUGAGCCGAUGUCCGAUUAGCUAGUUGGCGGGGUAAAGGCCCACCAAGGCGACGAUCGGUAGCUGGUCUGAGAGGACGACCAGCCACACUGGAACUGAGACACGGUCCAGACUCCUACGGGAGGCAGCAGUGGGGAAUAUUGGACAAUGGGGGCAACCCUGAUCCAGCCAUGCCGCGUGGGUGAAGAAGGCCU
Molecule: ribosomal RNA, 395 nt
Filed under: uncultured bacterium
Lineage: Bacteria
Description: bacterial SSU rRNA
Rfam family: Bacterial small subunit ribosomal RNA
Source: RNAcentral